AGUGCAUGUGGUGGAUGCCUUGGCAGUCAGAGGCGAUGAAAGACGUGAUAGCCUGCGAAAAGCUCCGGGGAGGCGGCAAAUAUCCUUUGAUCCGGAGAUGUCUGAAUGGGGGAACCCACCUACUUUAAGGUAGGUAUUGCAACAUGAAUACAUAGUGUUGCAAGGCGAACGAGGGGAAGUGAAACAUCUCAGUACCCUUAGGAAAAGAAAUCAAUUGAGAUUCCCUCAGUAGCGGCGAGCGAACGGGGAUCAGCCCAUUAAGUAUGUGUGUUUUUAGUGGAACGCUCUGGGAAGUGCGAACGUAGAGGGUGAUAUUCCCGUACACGAAAGGGCACACAUAAUGAUGACGAGUAGGGCGAGGCACGUGAAACCUUGUCUGAAUAUGGGGGGACCAUCCUCCAAGGCUAAAUACUCCUGACUGACCGAUAGUGAACCAGUACCGUGAGGGAAAGGCGAAAAGAACCCCUGUGAGGGGAGUGAAAUAGAUCCUGAAACCGCAUGCAUACAAGCAGUGGGAGCACCUUCGUGGUGUGACUGCGUACCUUUUGUAUAAUGGGUCAGCGACUUAUAUUCAGUAGCGAGGUUAACCGUAUAGGGGAGCCGUAGAGAAAUCGAGUCUUAAUAGGGCGUUUAGUUGCUGGGUAUAGACCCGAAACCAGGCGAUCUAUCCAUGAGCAGGUUGAAGGUUGGGUAACACUAACUGGAGGACCGAACCCACUGUCGUUGAAAAGCCAGGGGAUGACUUGUGGAUAGGGGUGAAAGGCUAAUCAAGCCUGGUGAUAGCUGGUUCUCCCCGAAAGCUAUUUAGGUAGCGCCUCGGACGAAUACCAUAGGGGGUAGAGCACUGUUUCGGCUAGGGGGUCAUCCCGACUUACCAAACCGAUGCAAACUCCGAAUACCUAUGAGUACUAUCCGGGAGACAGACUGCGGGUGCUAACGUCCGUAGUCAAGAGGAAAACAAUCCAGACCGCCAGCUAAGGCCCCAAAAUCAUAGUUAAGUGGGAAACGAUGUGGGAAGGCAUAGACAGCUAGGAGGUUGGCUUAGAAGCAGCCACCCUUUAAAGAAAGCGUAAUAGCUCACUAGUCGAGUCGGCCUGCGCGGAAGAUGUAACGGGGCUAAAACUAUGUGCCGAAGCUGCGGAUGUAUACUUUGUAUACGUGGUAGGGGAGCGUUCUGUAAGCCGAUGAAGGUGUGUUGAGAAGCAUGCUGGAGGUAUCAGAAGUGCGAAUGCUGACGUGAGUAACGACAAAACGGGUGAAAAACCCGUUCGCCGAAAGACCAAGGGUUCCAGUCCAACGUUAAUCGGGGCUGGGUGAGUCGACCCCUAAGGCGAGGCCGAAAGGCGUAGUCGAUGGGAAAAUGGUUAAUAUUCCAUUACUUCUGUGUAAUGCGAUGAGAGGACGGAGAAGGCUAAAUCAGCCUGGCGUUGGUUGUCCAGGUGAAAGGAUGUAGGCAUGUAUCUUAGGCAAAUCCGGGGUACUCUAUGCUGAGAUCUGAUAGCAAGCUGUACUUGUACAGCGAAGUGGUUGAUGCCAUGCUUCCAGGAAAAGUCUCUAAGCUUCAGUUACACAGGAAUCGUACCCGAAACCGACACAGGUGGUCAGGUCGAGUAGACCAAGGCGCUUGAGAGAACUCUGCUGAAGGAACUAGGCAAAAUGGUACCGUAACUUCGGGAGAAGGUACGCUGUUGUUGGUGAUGGAACUCGCUUCCUGAGCUGACGACAGCCGCAGAAACCAGGCCGCUGCAACUGUUUAUUAAAAACAUAGCACUCUGCAAACACGAAAGUGGACGUAUAGGGUGUGAUGCCUGCCCGGUGCUGGAAGGUUAAUUGAUGGGGUUAGCGUAAGCGAAGCUCUUGAUCGAAGCCCCAGUAAACGGCGGCCGUAACUAUAACGGUCCUAAGGUAGCGAAAUUCCUUGUCGGGUAAGUUCCGACCUGCACGAAUGGCAUAAUGAUGGCGGCGCUGUCUCCAGCAGAGGCUCAGUGAAAUCGAAAUCGCUGUGAAGAUGCAGUGUACCCGCGGCUAGACGGAAAGACCCCGUGAACCUUUACUGCAGCUUGACACUGAACUUUGACCUUACUUGUGUAGGAUAGGUGGGAGGCUUUGAAGCUGGAACGCUAGUUCCAGUGGAGCCGUCCUUGAAAUACCACCCUGGUAAUGUUGAGGUUCUAACUCUGUCCCGUGAUCCGGGACGAGGACCGUGUCUGGUGGGUAGUUUGACUGGGGCGGUCUCCUCCUAAAGAGUAACGGAGGAGUACGAAGGUGCGCUCAGCGUGGUCGGAAAUCACGCGUAGAGUAUAAAGGCAAAAGCGCGCUUAACUGCGAGACCCACAAGUCGAGCAGGUACGAAAGUAGGUCUUAGUGAUCCGGUGGUUCUGUAUGGAAGGGCCAUCGCUCAACGGAUAAAAGGUACUCUGGGGAUAACAGGCUGAUACCGCCCAAGAGUUCAUAUCGACGGCGGUGUUUGGCACCUCGAUGUCGGCUCAUCUCAUCCUGGGGCUGAAGCAGGUCCCAAGGGUAUGGCUGUUCGCCAUUUAAAGAGGUACGCGAGCUGGGUUUAGAACGUCGUGAGACAGUUCGGUCCCUAUCUACCGUGGGCGCUGGAAAUUUGAGAGGAUCUGCUCCUAGUACGAGAGGACCAGAGUGGACGAACCUCUGGUGUACCGGUUGUGACGCCAGUCGCAUCGCCGGGUAGCUAUGUUCGGAAGGGAUAACCGCUGAAAGCAUCUAAGCGGGAAGCCUACCUCAAGAUAAGAUUUCCCUAGGACUUUAUGUCCUCUAAAGAGCCGUUCGAGACUAGGACGUUGAUAGGUUGGAUGUGGAAGCAUAGUGAUAUGUGAAGCUGACCAAUACUAAUUGCUCGUGAGGCUUGACU
This 2878-nucleotide ribosomal RNA is filed under the name Acinetobacter baumannii. RNAcentral's name for it is "bacterial LSU rRNA". It matches the Rfam family "Bacterial large subunit ribosomal RNA". The record is from RNAcentral. Lineage: Bacteria; Pseudomonadati; Pseudomonadota; Gammaproteobacteria; Moraxellales; Moraxellaceae.